CAAAAAACAUUUGGUCAAUUUUGAAAAUACAGUUACAUGUUUAAAAGCACAUCUGAUAUUUUUACUGUUUUAUGUAUGAAUUCAAACAAUUAUUUGUGUUUUAUAUCGAGAAUUACUUCAGCUGCCAUGAAAAAGAAAAUAUUGUGAGAUGCUUUGGAACAUUCUUGGGACAAUUGUAUAUUUGGUGAAAUACAACAGAAAGGACAUUUCAUUAAUUGGAUAAAAUGGAUUCAGUGAACUGAUCAGUACAAAAACCUAUGUUGAAAAGCAUAUAAAAGUAGCCAUGGUAGCAGCUCCAAGGAAGAUGGUUAAAUAAAUCUUCAACCAAGUCUGAGGCUUUACCAAGAAAAUAAGAAGGCAAGUUUAAAUAAGCCAAAAAUUUCUAUACAUGCUAUCGGUAAUUUGAUUAAAAUAGAAGGCAAGUUUAAAUAAGUCAAAAAUUUCUAUACAUGCUAUCAGUAAUUUGAUUAAAAUGUAUAUUUAGGGCAUAUAAUAGAGUUACAGUGGAGAUAAUGAUGUUGCUAAUGUAAAAUGAUAUUUUUGCAAUUCAAUGGGAGAUAACUCAUAAUUUACCUUUAUGAACAAUGGAAUAUAUUUAAAUCAUUAUUUUUGUGGAGUUGGAAAUUCAAAUAAUAAACUUAUAAGACUUAUUUUUUUUUUUUAAUCUUUUAUAUUGAUUUUUCAGUUAUUUAGGUUAUAGUAAGAAAUCGGAACAAUAUUUUGUUAAUGUCAGGGAAAUUGAAAUGUAACUUAUAUAAAUUGGCAAUUUUUAUAUUUUAGGUUCUUUCUGUGAGAUGUUUUCUGGUGUGGGAAUAAGACUUGGUGGUCUGAUAAAGCUAAUAUAUAGGUAUGUACCAGUACUGUUUUGAAAAGAAAUAAAUUAUCAAUGUAUUAUAAAAAUACAUAAAGUACAUGUUUUUUACUCUCUUGGCCUUGAAAUAUUCAAACAUUUAAUUUCUGUAAUUAAUUUCUACUCACUUUUUAUAUGAGUACAAAUACAAUGUAUAUGUGUAAAUCAAGGGCAUACGAUACAGUUUUGAUCCCGUAUUUACAGUUUGAUGAAAAUUUCCAUAUAGGCUAUUUUUUGCCUGAUUAAAUCAAAUAUGUAAUAAAAAAUAUACCUUCAUGUGCUACUUUUUGAGUUAAAUGAAAUCGAAAUUUUGUAUAUUUGCUCAAUUUUCAGAUUUGUGGUCGUAUUUUCCCUUUCGAAAGAAAGCCAUAACUUUUUUGUUUUAAAAGAUAAACACAAAUUGUUUUUUGUUAAAUAAUUUGUAAUUUCUGUAUUUUAUAAGUAUCCUAAAAAAUUAUGCAUUUUUUAUUCAGAAAUAACUCAUAGUUAUCAAAUGGUCAUGAAUUGAGAAAAAAAACGUAAUUUUUUGCUGUAUAAUUAUCAAAAUUAAAAAAAUUGCACUAUUUACAGUUUUAUAAAAUUUGGUCCACAUAAUCUCCCUGCAAAAUGAAUCAAAAUGUCGUUUUAAAAAUAGGGGUCCAUGCACUCGUUUUCAAAUUAAAUCAGUUUGAAUGAUAAAAAUCAGUCGAAAAAUGCAUCUUUUCCCGAUAUGUCAUAGUUUGACGUCGCGAAAAUAACAUUUUACGUUAGCAACGUCAUUAGUUGGAUUGCUCUCUCGUCUGUUCUCAACAUCUAUUACAUGAAUAUGACCCAUUUCUUUAUAAUUUUCAUACAUUAACAGUGAUCCUUUCAAAAUAAUUUGGUUAACUAAGCAUUUUAUGUUCUUUUAAAUUUCAGCUUAGCAUCACUGAGCUUGUCUGUAAGGAUUGAAGCUGGGAGUGGGCAAUGGAGCUGACUUUUAUGGUAAGAACCAAUACAAAAAUUAAUGAAUUAUUCAGCCAAGAGCAUGUAAAUACCAUAGAAUAUUAUUAUGCAAAGAAGUUUUAUAUUUUGAUUAUGCAUAGAAGUAUUAUAUUUAAACUGUGUAGAGAAGUGUUAUAUUUUAAUUUUUCUAAAACUAUAUCUGUAUAUAUAAUCAAAUCAGAAAACAAAAAAAAUCAUUUCUUAAUAGGAAAGGUGGUAACAAGAUAAAUAAACGAAAUCAAAAAUUAUGCUGUAACUUAAAAAAAAUCUUUCAAUCUGUUUUACGAUAUCUAAAAUUGUCCCUGUAAAUUAAGUAAAUGAGAUGUGGCUUAAUUGCUAAUGAAAUAAAGAUUUCCCAGAGACCAAAUGACAUGGAUGCAUUCUUCUAAUAGUCACUGUAUGACCUUCAACAAUGAGCAAAACCUAUACCUUACAUAUAACUAUGAAAGUCUACAACAUGACAAAAUGUGAAACAAUUCAAACAAGAAAACCAAUAGCUUGUGAUUUAUGAUGAAACAAUGAAAUAAUAAAAAAAAUCCCUUGUUUGCAAAGGAAGACUGGUUGAUUGUAAAUUCAUGUCUACACAUCACUUCAAAAUAAUGGUAAAAGCAAUGUUCUAUGCAUCAUAAGUGCAAUUGCCAGUUACAUGUACUUGUUUCUUUGCAUUGAAUAUUGUUCUGACAGAUAUUAGAAUGUAUAUUUCUUUUUCAGGUGACUUCAACUGUGGCUGCAGGAAAUUAUUGUGCAAUUCAACUGAAACAAAAAAGAAUGUAAUUCAGACUAUUUUUGUGUAUGUUUAAAAAAAAAUUGUAAAGAUUCUCCAUUUUCAACAAAGCUGGAAGUUGUAGGCUAAAUUGAUACUUCAUAAUUUUACUUUAUUACUUAUAGACCUACUUAAGUUAUCUUAAUGAUGGUCUUUGUGUAUCCAAAACAUUUCUAGUAGUUUUAGAAUGGAGAAUCUAAAAAAAAAAAAAAAAAAAAAAAGAAAAAGAAAUGUAUUUUUUUUAGUUUUCUGAUUUGUAUUAUAUAAAUAUUUUUCCAAUGUUUUGUUAUACUUAUUUUUAGCAAUGUUUUAGCUCAAACAAAUUAUUUCAAAAGAAGCAUAGUAAAGAAACAUCCUGGUGAAAAAAGAUUGAUUGAUUUUUAGUGUUAAACAUCACUUUCAGCAAUAUUGAUUAUAUCUUGGUGGCCAUUUUUUUUUAUUGGUUGAGAAAGUCAGAGUAAUGGGAGAGAACCACCAAAUUGAAAAUUGAUGUACUAAAUAUUUUUUUUAAAUGUUUGAAUAUUUUAUAUCAAAUUAUUUAUUUUUAAUUAUAGCUAUACCAUUUUUUUGUUGUUAGAUAUAGCAAUGAUGUGGAGUCCAAACAGGUGAAAUUUUUGGCAAAGGGAGGUAAUUUAUUAUUCCCCUGUUUAACUCCUUAUUCUUGAAAUUUCCUCAUGGUAGGGAAUAUAUAACUAUUUACUUUAAUUUCACAUUUGUACAAGUUUUGGGUUUAAUAUCAGAUGUAUACUAGCUAAUAAGGACUAUUAUUCAGAGUUCUGUAAAUAAAAAAAUGUAAACAGAGCUCUAGAUAAUAGAUUUGAGGGUGGGAGAAAUCAUGGGUUACUUCUUGUAGAAUUGAUUUGGUGAAAUUUUCAAGAUAGGAGAUUAAUUGAAAGUGCAUCUGAUAUCUUUAUUCAUUUCUAUAAAUAAUGGACCAAAAAAUGACAGAUUGACAAUCAGAUAAUGAUGACAGCCACCCUGGCAGCCAGGAGAGCAGCUCUAAGGAAGAUGGUCAAUAAAAUCUUCAACCAAGUCUGAGGCUUUACCAUGAAAUUGAGAAGGCAAGUUUAUUGAAGUCAAACAAUUUUUAUACAUUUUCUAGAAAUAUUUGAUAAAAAGUGCAUAUUCAUCUUUUUUUUCUGCGUGAAAAACAUCUUUGAAGAAUGUAUUUACCAGUUUAAUAUUUUGAGAUACCAGUUACAUUAACAAGAAUUUCUAUCACAAUUACUGGAGUAAAUCCUGAGAUAGGGAUUAUAUCUCAAGGGGAGACUAGUUUUAUUAACAGCAAGAUUUGUUCAUUCAAUGGGAGACAACUCAUUUUCAUUAUUCAAAUUAGUUGAGUUCAGUUGAAAUUCAAAUCAUAAAACUUUGACAAUUUUUUUUUUUUUUCAAUCUUUAUAAAUUUUACAGAAUAUGUGGAUGUUAUACUAUUGGUACAUGAAGUAAGAAAUCAGAACAAUUUGUAAAGUAAUCUUUAGGUUGACAUAGAAAUUGGUUUGUAAAAUUAAUAAAUGUGUUAAUUUCUUUUUAGGUACUUUCUGUGGCAUGUUUUCAUGGUGUUGGAAUAAGACUUGGUGGUCAAAUACAGCUAAUAUGAAGGUAGGUACCAGUAAUAUUAAUCCUGUUUAAAAAAAAUAAUUCUAUAAAUAAUAUUAUUUGGAAAUAAAUACUGACUAGGGUUAAAGGUUUAUAAAAGUUUGGUCAACAGUAUACUCUUUAUUUUAUCAGUACCAUAUGACAAUGUUCACUUGGCAAAAUAUGGCCUUAUUAUAGAUUUUAAAUUUCAACUUUCAUCAUAGAAUUCCAAAAAGGCCCCAAUCUGGUUCUUAAAUGGAUAUAUCAAGAGACUUAUGGCGACAUAAAAGAAAAAGCUUCUUUAUAAUACACUGUAGACUCCAUAAUUAGCUAAAUUGGGAGAUAUUAUCAAAAUGCGAUGUUCUUACCUAAAAGCUUAAAGAAUACCUUUGAUCCAAAAUGUUAAGUAACCUAUAGGUGCCAAGGGUAAUAUUUAAAUUACAAGACAUACACUAUUACUGGAUCAGGGAAAGUGAAUUAUGCUGAAAACUGUUCUAAAUUGUGAAAAAUUGGACCUUUAUUGGCGCUUUUGCGAAAAACACCAGAAUUGCAUAAUCAAGAGGUCAUAACUUUGUAGUUUAUAUUGUUAAAUGCCAAAAAAAGAAGUGGUUAUUUUGUAUCAAAAAUGAUACCACAACAAUUUAUAUGUAGCAUUUGGACCUGAAUUAAAAAAGAUUAAAAUCUUAUGGCCAACUUUAGCCCUUUUAAACCUACCGCUUUUAAGGAUUGAAUUGGGUUGUUGGAUUGAUGUCUUAUCAAUGUUCUCAAAACCUGUCACAUGUAUAUAACCCAUUUUAUAUAAAGUAGAUACGGUAUUCCAGAAGUGAUCCUUUAAAACAAUUUUGAUUGACUAAGCAUUUUAUAUUUCAGGUUAGCACCACAGCUUGUCUGUAGGGAUUGAAGCUGGGAAAGGGCCAUUGGAGCUGAAUUUUAUGGUAAGAACUAAAAAAAAGAUUGAACUAUUCAUCUAAGAGUAUGUAAAUGCACCAUGGACUUUUUUAUGUACACAUGUAGAUCUAACAUUUAAAAAAAAAAAUCCAAAUUAAAAGUUUAUUUAUACCGGUAAUCUGGAUAGGGUAUAUAAGAAUAAAGAGAUGUUAUAAGAUUGCCAACUACACAACUAUCAAUAAAGGAAGCAAAUUACAGUCACCGUAGGACAUUCAGCAAUGAGCAAAAUCUAUAUGAAUGUAAAUAAUGCAACUGGUUGAAUAUCACAAUAGGAACUCAGUGUAUUCAUAAUUUUAAUCUCUGAUGCAUAACUUUGAAGGCAGAUUUUUCUGAAAUCGGGAUUAUUAAUCUUGCAUAUUUAUCCAUUUAUUAAAAAAUCAAGAAUAGAUGCAUGCAAUAAUUUCUGAAUUUACAGUACCAGUUUUAAAGUAAGCUAUAAGAGGUACUGAAUAUGACAAAAUGUGAAACAAUUUCAAACAAGAAAACCAACGCAAUGAUUCAUGAAAAAGAAUAAUCGAAAAAAAUAAACAUGACACACACCAACCAUUGGUUAGUUUUUCAUCCUUAUUUGCUAAUAAUUGUAUUAGAUAUAGUUUAAAUUUUGAUAUAGGCUUGAUCAUAUGUUUUGACAGAUAUGUUUAAGAAUAUUUAUUUCUUUUUCAGGAAACUUUGACUGUGGCUGCCACAUAAAAUGAUUAUAUGAUAACAGUGAAGAAAGUUAGUCAGAAAACUUUUGUAUAUGUUUCAGAAAAUGUAAUUUUUUACAACAAAAAAAAACAAAAAAAAAGAAUGUGUAAAGAUUCUCCACUUUCAACUAGAUUGGAAGCUUGUAUUUAAAAUUUCAAAAUUACUCUUACUUUUCUUGUCGUGCUUAUAGAAACUGAACUUUAUAUGUUUCAUAAUUUAGAUCUUAUUCGUUAUUCCCCAACCCCCUGUAACUCUGUUUCAUUUUUACUUUGAAAAUGAAAUGAAACAGAAAAAAUUUACUUGUAAACUUAAUAAUGGUCUGUCUAGUCCAAAGGCUUUCAGUCGGUUAAGAAUGGAGAAUCUAAAAAAAAAAAAAUAAAAAAAAUGAAAAAAAAUAUAUUGUGUUUUUGUGUUUCCUGAAUUGUUAUAUAUUUUUCCAACUUUUUGUUAUUUUUUUGCAGUGCUUUUAGCUAAAAAAAUUAAAAUUAUUUCACUAGAAGCAGAGUAGAACAUAUUGGUGAAAAAAGAUUGAUUGAUUGAUUGAAUUUUGGUGUAUAAUGCCACUUUCAGCCCAAUUUGUAAUAUCUUGAUGGCCAUUUUUUAUGGGUUGAAAAAGUUAAAAGUAACAGUAGAUACCCACCAACUUUUCCCCCAGGGAACUGUCAAUUCUAGUCAAUUAAGCUUUGAGUCAAACACACCUACCACAGGUUGGGUUUGAAUUCUCAACCUCAUUUUGACAUGCUAGAGAUACAAUAAUACUUCUUAGACCACUGCCACUAAGGC
This 6569-nucleotide long non-coding RNA is filed under the name Mytilus galloprovincialis (Mediterranean mussel). Lineage: Eukaryota; Metazoa; Mollusca; Bivalvia; Mytilida; Mytilidae. The record is from RNAcentral.